UACGGAGGGUGCAAGCGUUGUUCGGAAUUACUGGGCGUAAAGCGCGUGUAGGCGGCCCUGCAAGUCAGAUGUGAAAGCCCUCGGCUUAACCGGGGAAGCGCAUCUGAAACUGCUUGGCUUGAGUACCGGAGAGGGAGGCGGAAUUCCCAGUGUAGAGGUGAAAUUCGUAGAUAUUGGGAGGAACACCGGUGGCGAAAGCGGCCUCCUGGACGGAUACUGACGCUGAGACGCGAAAGCGUGGGUAG
Molecule: ribosomal RNA, 245 nt
Filed under: uncultured Anaeromyxobacter sp.
Lineage: Bacteria; Pseudomonadati; Myxococcota; Myxococcia; Myxococcales; Anaeromyxobacteraceae
Description: partial 16S ribosomal RNA
Rfam family: Bacterial small subunit ribosomal RNA
Source: RNAcentral